This 86-nucleotide transfer RNA is filed under the name Malassezia furfur. RNAcentral describes it as "tRNA-Ile". It matches the Rfam family "tRNA". Rfam says of the family: Transfer RNA (tRNA) molecules are approximately 80 nucleotides in length. Their secondary structure includes four short double-helical elements and three loops (D, anti-codon, and T loops). The record is from RNAcentral. Lineage: Eukaryota; Fungi; Basidiomycota; Malasseziomycetes; Malasseziales; Malasseziaceae.
GACCCUAUAACUCAGUUGGUUAGAGUGUGGAGCUAAUACCCUCUUGUGUUACUCCAAAGUCGCCAGUUCGAGCCUGGUUAGGGUCA